This 495-nucleotide ribosomal RNA is filed under the name uncultured bacterium. Its description in RNAcentral is "partial 16S ribosomal RNA". It matches the Rfam family "Bacterial small subunit ribosomal RNA", at positions 28 to 507 of the family's 1533-position model. The record is from RNAcentral.
GACGAACGCUGGCGGCGUGCCUAAUACAUGCAAGUAGAACGCUGAAGGAGGAGCUUGCUUCUCUGGAUGAAUUGCGAACGGGUGAGUAACGCGUAGGUAACCUGCCUGGUAGCGGGGGAUAACUAUUGGAAACUAUAGCUAAUACCGCAUAAGAGUAGAUGUUGCAUGACAUUUGCUUAAAAGGUUCAAUUGCAUCACUACCAGAUGGACCUGCGGUGUAUUAGCUAGUUGGUGGGGUAACGGCUCACCAAGGCGACGAUGCAUAGUCGAACGGAGAGGGGGGUCGGCCAGACUGGGAGUGAGACCCGGCCCAGAGGCCUACGGGAGGCAGCAGGAGGGAAUCUUGGGCAAGGGGCGGAAGACUGAGCGAGCAACGCCGCGGGAGUGAAGAAGGUUGUCGGAUCGUAAAGCUCGGUUGUAAGAGAAGAACGAGUGUGAGAGUGGAAAGUUCACACUGUGACGGUAGCUGACCAGAAAGGGACGGCUAACUACGUG